Saccostrea cuccullata (small rock oyster) is the source of this 474-nucleotide long non-coding RNA. RefSeq lists it as uncharacterized. The transcript is spliced from 3 exons. The record is from RefSeq and is a predicted model, not a curated record. NCBI's taxonomy places the organism in Eukaryota, Metazoa, Mollusca, Bivalvia, Ostreida, Ostreidae.
UCUGAUUUCAGGAGUAGUUUCCCCUGUUAAAGAUCAAUAAUUCACAACAUACAAUGCGGUAUGCAGUCUGGUCAUCAAUGGAGAGUUUUGACACCUGUAUACCUGUAUUCUACCAGUCACCUCUGUAGCCUUUGUUGUGUUCAUCAGACAGGCUUUAGGUGAAAGUGGUCUGUCACUGAGUCAACAAUUACUGUGAGCCAAUAUUUGGUGCCAUUCACAAGCAGAAAAAUAUACAUAAAGCCAACAUUCAUCAUGUUUGAUCUUAAACUACCAGACUACCAGUGUUGGAUAACGGGAGCCUUGCCCAGUAUUACUCAAACGUGAGCUAUGGGGAUAGAGUCCAGAGAUAUUUCCCUAUGGAUGUGUUUCAAAGAAUUCUGAUGGACCUUGGAGCAGUGUCAGUUAUGGGAGAUAAUUUCACUACUUGUGUUUUUCCAAAAGUUUCCAUGUGACCUAGAGAUGGACUCUGGAUAU